GAUUGCCUCAGUAACGGCGAGUGAAGCGGCAAGAGCUCAAAUUUGAAAGCUGGCUCCUUCGGAGUCCGCAUUGUAAUUUGCAGAGGAUGCUUUGGGUGCGGCCCCCCUCUAAGUGCCCUGGAACGGGCCGUCAGAGAGGGUGAGAAUCCCGUCUUGGGCGGGGUGUCCGUGCCCGUGUAAAGCUCCUUCGACGAGUCGAGUUGUUUGGGAAUGCAGCUCUAAAUGGGUGGUAAAUUUCAUCUAAAGCUAAAUACUGGCCGGAGACCGAUAGCGCACAAGUAGAGUGAUCGAAAGAUGAAAAGCACUUUGAAAAGAGAGUUAAACAGCACGUGAAAUUGUUGAAAGGGAAGCGCUUGCGACCAGACUCGCCCGCGGGGUUCAGCCGGCAUUCGUGCCGGUGUACUUCCCCGUGGGCGGGCCAGCGUCGGUUUGGGCGGCCGGUCAAAGGCCCCUGGAAUGUAGUGCCCUCCGGGGCACCUUAUAGCCAGGGGUGCAAUGCGGCCAGCCUGGACCGAGGAACGCGCUUCGGCACGGACGCUGGCAUAAUGGUCGUAAACGACCCGUCUUGAAACACGGACC
Molecule: ribosomal RNA, 579 nt
Filed under: Aspergillus niger
Lineage: Eukaryota; Fungi; Ascomycota; Eurotiomycetes; Eurotiales; Aspergillaceae
Description: eukaryotic LSU rRNA
Rfam family: Eukaryotic large subunit ribosomal RNA
Source: RNAcentral